AGUGUUUAUUAGAUACAGAACCAAUACACCAUCUGUUAACCGCAGGUGGUGUAAAAAAGGUGAUUCAUAGUAACCGAACGGAUCGCAUUAUGGUCAUUUUCUUAUAUGGCUGGCGAUAGAUCAUUCAAGUUUCUGACCUAUCAGCUUUCGACGGUAGUGUAUUGGACUACCGUGGCAGUGACGGGUAACGGGGAAUUAGGGUUCGAUUCCGGUGAGGGAGCCUGAGAAACGGCUACCACAUCUAAGGAAGGCAGCAGGCGCGCAAAUUACCCAAUCCUGACUCAGGGAGGUAGUGACAAGAAAUAACAACACUGGAAAUUUUAUUUCUAGUGAUUGGAAUGAUGGGAGUUUAAACCCCUUUCAGAGUAACAAUUGGAGGGCAAGUCUGGUGCCAGCAGCCGCGGUAAUUCCAGCUCCAAUAGCGUAUAUUAAAGUUGUUGCGGUUAAAAAGCUCGUAGUUGGAUGUCUGCUGGAGGCAAUCAGUCCGCCCUAUUUGUAGGGUGUGCACUUGAUGAAUUCUGGCAUCUAUAUGUCCCAAUGAUAUGAUGGUGUAUAAUAGGUUAAUCCUAUAUACCCGUUUGUAUAUUGGGAUAAUACCGUUACUUUGAGAAAAUUAGAGUGUUUGAAGCAGGCUAAUUGCCUUGAAUACUGCAGCAUGGAAUAACAAUAUAGGAUUUCGGUUCUAUUUUGUUGGUUUCUAGGACUGAAAUAAUGAUUAAUAGGGACAGUUGGGGGCAUUCGUAUUUAACUGUCAGAGGUGAAAUUCUUAGAUUUGUUAAAGACGAACUACUGCGAAAGCAUUUGCCAAAGAUGUUUUCAUUAAUCAAGAACGAAAGUUAGGGGCUCGAAGACGAUCAGAUACCGUCGUAGCCUUAACCAUAAACUAUGCCGACUAGAGAUAGGAAACUGUCAUUUUUCUGACUUCUCCUGCACCUUAUGAGAAAUCAAAGUCUUUGGGCUCUGGGGGGAGUAUGGUCGCAAGGCUGAAACUUAAAGGAAUUGACGGAAGGGCACCACCAGGCG
Molecule: ribosomal RNA, 1023 nt
Filed under: Sarcocystis sp. D11-1SW
Lineage: Eukaryota; Apicomplexa; Conoidasida; Eucoccidiorida; Sarcocystidae
Description: SSU rRNA
Rfam family: Eukaryotic small subunit ribosomal RNA
Source: RNAcentral